This is a small nucleolar RNA of Nycticebus coucang (slow loris), 104 nucleotides long. RefSeq annotates it as small nucleolar RNA U13. The transcript has a single exon. The record is from RefSeq and is a predicted model, not a curated record. NCBI's taxonomy places the organism in Eukaryota, Metazoa, Chordata, Mammalia, Primates, Lorisidae.
AUCCUUCUGCAGUUCGUAAGCGUGAUGUUUGGGUUUUCCUGCGCAUGCAUGUGAUGUGCCUCCCACAAAUCUUGCUACGACGUCAGCACAUUAUCCAUCUGACA